AUACGGAGGAUCCGAGCGUUAUCCGGAUUUAUUGGGUUUAAAGGGAGCGUAGGUGGAUUGUUAAGUCAGUUGUGAAAGUUUGCGGCUCAACCGUAAAAUUGCAGUUGAAACUGGCAGUCUUGAGUACAGUAGAGGUGGGCGGAAUUCGUGGUGUAGCGGUGCAAUGCUUAGAUAUCACGAAGAACACCGAUUGCGAAGGCAGCUCACUAGACUGUUACUGACACUGAUGCUCGAAAGUGUGGGUAUCAAACAGGAUUAGAUACCCUGGUAGUCCACACAGUAAACGAUGAAUACUCGCUGUUUGCGAUAUACAGUAAGCGGCCAAGCGAAAGCAUUAAGUAUUCCACCUGGGGAGUACGCCGGCAACGGUGAAACUCAAAUGAAUUGACGGGG
RNAcentral lists this ribosomal RNA (393 nucleotides) under uncultured bacterium. Its description in RNAcentral is "partial 16S ribosomal RNA". It matches the Rfam family "Bacterial small subunit ribosomal RNA", at positions 523 to 918 of the family's 1533-position model. The record is from RNAcentral.